Molecule: long non-coding RNA, 1542 nt
Organism: Pocillopora damicornis (cauliflower coral)
Lineage: Eukaryota; Metazoa; Cnidaria; Anthozoa; Scleractinia; Pocilloporidae
Source: RefSeq, a predicted model, not a curated record
GUUUUGCUGUUUUUAUUCUUACAAAACAUUUUGUAAGAGUUCCAAUACUUAUGGAUCAUCCACACACUUUGCGAACAUUUGGCAUGCAGACAAGACAGAGGUAGUCAAUGUUCCCUUUGAGAAAAAACACCUUUUAAAUGACGUCUUCAAUUUACUUUAUUUGAAACUCUGAUCUGAAAAUAUUUGUCAACAAGACUUGUUAGUAGUGAGAAGUACAAACCAAGUUUCCUUUCAUAACUUAAUUUCUUAAAUGUCCCAAUCACUGGAUCUCUCAAAAAAUACUACAUCUUUUUAUUUUUUUGUGCAAAAUACAAGUUCUUCUUUAUAUAAAAAUGAAAAGUGCAAGUCACACUUCAGUAAUAGCAGCUCUAAAGUUUACUUGUUGUUCUUCUCUGUCUGUCAGCUAUCAACAAAAUUGUUUUAUACUUCGGACAGUGCAUAACUAUUUGUGGACCAGAGUUCCAAUGCACCUCUGUAAUCGCAUAUAGUUACUUCUGUCUCUUGUACAAAUGUUUCUCCUUUGUAAGACACACUCUACUCUGUUGUCACCACUGCUUUAAGUUCAGUGGAAACAACUGACUGAGGAAUCAAGAUGGUGGUGUUUGAACAUGUUGCUGAAUGCUUGCUAUGGUCAAGCUUUGUAGAUUUAGUUACUGGUACACUGGGGUCGUCUAUGUAUCUCUUAUACUUCCUAAUGUGGUAUCCUUCUUUUAUAAAUAUGAGGGUAAAAGACGAUUUGUAGUCGCAUUCAAAACUGUGAUUGGCUUGUGUUAUUCCUCACCUUUGCCAUGAACACAACUCCAGUGAGUUUCGAGUCUUUGUUUCCUCGACAACUUUCGGCCACAAAUCAUGCAUUUGUAGUACAAUCAAUUCUUAUUGAUUAUUUCUACAUAGAGUGAGCUCACAUCAUUAUUUAUGUCACCAAGGUAUCCAUCGUCUAGAAGGAGAGAACUGGUUAGAGAAGACAGAAUAAAGUUGUGCGCUUCUCUUAACACUGCAAUCGGCAAGCCAGCGGAUUCACUUUGCUAGCCAAUGACAAGUCUUAAAAGAUCCACGUGAUCAUGCCCGUGAUCGGAAACAAAGGAGACUCCAUUUGGCGCUCAUCUUUGAAUGUACUUUUCAUCGGUUGAUUGCUCAUGCAUUAAGUUAUUUCUUUUCUCAACUGUUUUGCUUAAUAUAACAUUUCUAAAGAUAGCUUUUAUUGUGGUUCAAUGGGAAAACGAGAACAGCGUGAGUGUUGUAAAAUAAAAGAAAGUCGUUGGCACCGUGGAGUUAAAAGAAGGGACAACAGUUGACAUAUCGACUGGUACAAACAAGGGUCGAGUGGCCAUCUGUAAAGCUACAAUUUUGAAAGUUUGUGAUGUCAUGGAAUCCAGAUACAAAAUGGUCAAACUUUUUGUAUACAACCUCAUUCAAGGCCAACUCAUUGUGAGCCCAGGGAAAAAAUACAAACAGCAGCUAAGUUUGCAGUUUAGGAUAACUUCAUUCUAAUUUAUUGUUACAGUUACAACAAGAUUUUAAUUAAAAAAUUAAUUUUAUUUA